UUAGAGUUUGAUCCAUGGCUCAGAUUGAACGCUGGCGGCAGGCCUAACACAUGCAAGUCGAGCGGUAACAUGCCUUCGGGUGAUGACGAGCGGCGGACGGGUGAGUAAUGCUUGGGGAUCUCCCCGAUGGCGGGGGACAACCACUGGAAACGGUGGCUAAUACCGCAUAAUGUCUACGGACCAAAGUGUGGGACCUUCGGGCCACACGCCAUCGGAUGAACCCAAGUGAGAUUAGCUAGUUGGUGGGGUAAAGGCUCACCAAGGCGACGAUCUCUAGCUGGUUUGAGAGGAUGAUCAGCCACACUGGGACUGAGACACGGCCCAGACUCCUACGGGAGGCAGCAGUGGGGAAUAUUGGACAAUGGGGGCAACCCUGAUCCAGCCAUGCCGCGUGUGUGAAGAAGGCCUUCGGGUUGUAAAGCACUUUCAGCGAGGAGGAAGGGGGUAGUGUUAAUAGCACUAUUUCUUGACGUACUCGCAGAAGAAGCCCCG
RNAcentral lists this ribosomal RNA (492 nucleotides) under Alkalimonas sp. BW86-79. Its description in RNAcentral is "bacterial SSU rRNA". It matches the Rfam family "Bacterial small subunit ribosomal RNA", at positions 1 to 495 of the family's 1533-position model. The record is from RNAcentral. Lineage: Bacteria; Pseudomonadati; Pseudomonadota; Gammaproteobacteria.